This 468-nucleotide ribosomal RNA is filed under the name uncultured bacterium. RNAcentral describes it as "partial 16S ribosomal RNA". It matches the Rfam family "Bacterial small subunit ribosomal RNA", at positions 28 to 523 of the family's 1533-position model. The record is from RNAcentral.
GAUGAACGCUGGCGGCGUGCCUAACACAUGCAAGUCGAGCGAUUCUCUUCGGAGAAGAGCGGCGGACGGGUGAGUAACGCGUGGGUAACCUGCCCUGUACACACGGAUAACAUACCGAAAGGCACGCUAAUACGAGAGAUUAUACUUUUAUCGCAUGGUAGAAGUAUCAAAGAUUUUGCGGUGCAGGAUGGACCCGCGUGUGAUUAGCUAGUUGGUAAGGUAACGGCUUACAAAGUCGACGAUCAGUAGCCGACCUGAGGGGGUAAUCGGCCACAUUGGAACUGAGACACAGUCCAAACUCCUACGGGAGGCAGCAGUGGGGAAUAUUGCACAACGGGCGAAAGCCUGAUGCAGCAAUGCCGCGUGAGCGAUGAAGGCCUUCGGUUCGUAAAGCUCUGUCCUCGAGGAAGAUAAUGACGGUACUUGAGGAGGAAGCCCCGGCUAACUACGUGCCAGCAGCCGCAGUAA